Molecule: long non-coding RNA, 791 nt
Filed under: Selaginella moellendorffii
Lineage: Eukaryota; Viridiplantae; Streptophyta; Lycopodiopsida; Selaginellales; Selaginellaceae
Description: long non-coding RNA (SMOE_LNC000956)
Source: RNAcentral
CUCCCCGCCGCCACCGGUCUACAAAUAUAAGUCGCCACCACCACCUGUGUACCACGUCCCAGCGCCGGUUUACAAGUACGAAUCUCCUCCGCCACCGGUGUACAAGUACAGCUCUCCGCCACCACCAGUCUACAAGUAUAAGUCGCCACCACCACCUGUGUACCACGCCCCUGCUCCAGUCUACAAGUACAAAUCUCCUCCGCCACCGGUGUACAAGUACAGCUCGCCACCACCACCGGUUUACAAAUACAAGUCGCCUCCUCCACCUGUUUACCACGCCCCGGCUCCAGUCUACAAGUACAAAUCCCCGCCACCACCGGUGUAUCACUACAGCUCCCCGCCACCACCUGUUUACAAGUAUAAGUCUCCACCGCCGCCUGUUUACCACGCUCCCGCCCCAGUCUACAAGUAUAAGUCACCGCCGCCACCUGUUUACCACUACAGCUCCCCACCACCCCCGGUUUACAAGUACAAAUCUCCUCCUCCCCCUGUCUACCACGCUCCAGCACCGGUUUACAAGUAUAAGUCUCCGCCGCCACCGGUCUAUCACUACAGCUCCCCGCCACCACCGGUGUACAAGUACAAGUCGCCACCACCGCCUGUGUACCACGCUCCAGCACCGGUUUACAAGUAUAAGUCGCCUCCUCCACCUGUUUACCACUACAGCUCGCCACCACCGCCGGUCUACAAGUACAAAUCCCCGCCACCUCCUGUGUACCACGCCCCGGCUCCAGUUUACAAGUAUAAGUCACCACCGCCUCCGGUCUACAAGUACCAAUCCCCGCCUCCAC